This 478-nucleotide ribosomal RNA is filed under the name uncultured bacterium. RNAcentral's name for it is "partial 16S ribosomal RNA". It matches the Rfam family "Bacterial small subunit ribosomal RNA", at positions 28 to 523 of the family's 1533-position model. The record is from RNAcentral.
AACGAACGCUGGCGGCAGGCUUAACACAUGCAAGUCGAACGGUAAGGCCCUUCGGGGUACACGAGUGGCGAACGGGUGAGUAACACGUGGGUGAUCUGCCCUGCACUUCGGGAUAAGCCUGGGAAACUGGGUCUAAUACCGGAUAGGACUCCUGGCUUCAUGGUUGGGGGUGGAAAGCUUUUGCGGUGUGGGAUGGGCCCGCGGCCUAUCAGCUUGUUGGUGGGGUAAUGGCCUACCAAGGCGACGACGGGUAGCCGGCCUGAGAGGGUGACCGGUCACACUGGGACUGAGAUACGGCCCAGACUCCUACGGGAGGCAGCAGUGGGGAAUAUUGCACAAUGGGCGCAAGCCUGAUGCAGCGACGCCGCGUGAGGGAUGACGGCCUUCGGGUUGUAAACCUCUUUCAGCUAUGACGAAGCGCAAGUGACGGUAGUAGCAGAAGAAGGACCGGCCAACUACGUGCCAGCAGCCGCGGUAA